RNAcentral lists this ribosomal RNA (468 nucleotides) under uncultured bacterium. RNAcentral describes it as "partial 16S ribosomal RNA". It matches the Rfam family "Bacterial small subunit ribosomal RNA", at positions 28 to 507 of the family's 1533-position model. The record is from RNAcentral.
GACGAACGCUGGCGGCGUGCUUAACACAUGCAAGUCGAACGGAAAGGCCCUGCUUUUGUGGGGUGCUCGAGUGGCGAACGGGUGAGUAACACGUGAGUAACCUGCCCUUGACUUUGGGAUAACUUCAGGAAACUGGGGCUAAUACCGGAUAGGAGCUCCUGCUGCAUGGUGGGGGUUGGAAAGUUUCGGCGGUUGGGGAUGGACUCGCGGCUUAUCAGCUUGUUGGUGGGGUAGUGGCUUACCAAGGCUUUGACGGGUAGCCGGCCUGAGAGGGUGACCGGCCACAUUGGGACUGAGAUACGGCCCGGACUCAUACGGGAGGAAGCAGUGGGGAAUAUUGCACAAUGGGCGGAAGCCUGAUGCAGCAACGCCGCGUGCGGGAUGACGGCCUUCGGGUUGUAAACCGCUUUCGCCUGUGACGAAGCGUGAGUGACGGUAAUGGGUAAAGAAGCACCGGCUAACUACGUG